UGCCAGCCGCCGCGGUAAUACGAAGGGACCUAGCGUAGUUCGGAAUUACUGGGCGCAAAGCGCGCGUAGGCGGAUAUUUAAGUCGGAUGUGAAAGCCCCGGGCUCAACCUGGGAAUUGCAUACGAUACUGGGUAUCUUGAGUACAGUAGAGGGGGGUGGAAUUUCCGGUGUAGCGGUGAAAUGCGUAGAGAUCGGAAGGAACACCAGUGGCGAAGGCGACCCCCUGGACUGAUACUGACGCUGAGGUGCGAAAGCGUGGGGAGCAAACAGGAUUAGAUA
This 279-nucleotide ribosomal RNA is filed under the name uncultured bacterium. Its description in RNAcentral is "partial 16S ribosomal RNA". It matches the Rfam family "Bacterial small subunit ribosomal RNA", at positions 506 to 784 of the family's 1533-position model. The record is from RNAcentral.